RNAcentral lists this unclassified non-coding RNA (349 nucleotides) under Hevea brasiliensis (rubber tree). The record is from RNAcentral. Lineage: Eukaryota; Viridiplantae; Streptophyta; Magnoliopsida; Malpighiales; Euphorbiaceae.
AAAAACUUCUGCACACCCUAUAAGAAAAUACUGUGGAACUUGCCAAAAUACAGAUAUCGGCACUUGUUUAAUUUCAUAGGAGUUGUGUCUUCUAACAGUUCCGAGUCUUAUCUGUUCUAAAACUGCUGCAGAUACCAUGGCAAAUAUUGAUAUGAAGAGGCCAAUGCCCAUCCUCUGAAGUUGAGUCAAGCCAUAUUUGUUACCUGUGAAUCUUCUUGCAAAUGGCACAAUAAUGCGAUCAUAGAUGGGGACCCAAAAGAUAACACUGAGGGUGUCGAAGACGGAAAGAGAUGCGGAUGGGAUCUGGAACUUGGAAUUGCCAACAAAUUUAUUCAUUUGAUCACCUUGU